GCAGAGAUAAGUGCAUGGCAGUAUUGUGGUUAUGCAGAUAUCAGUGUUAUGUUAAUGCCCCAGCACAACAAAAAGCUGAUUGACAUUUUCAUUGCUGUAUUCUUAGCUGUUUGUUAACAUGGAAAGAGGCAGUCCAGGAGCAAUGAACAACAUCCUUUUCUCACAGCCACUCUUUCAGAGCACUCAGCCAUCUGCUGGCUUGUCUACCUGCAAUAAUCACUCCUUCUCCCUGCCAAAUUUUGUGCUGCACCAUGCAUGACAUUUCAAAUUAUUUGAUGGACUAAUUUGCAUUUUUCAAAUAAUUUCACAUGCCAAUUAAUUUCAGUCUAUGGUUAAUCUGCCCUUCCACAAGCAGCGUUAUGGAAAGACAUGGAUAAACGCAAACUUUGCCUGUUCUGAGCACAUCAGAGAGGGAGGCCAGGGCUGCUGGGGGCACGAUGUUGAUUCCCUGCUUAGUCCUGAAUUUCACAAAACACAGGAUCCUUCUUCUGCAGUCUUUCACAUCUGUUAUCUGCCAACAGACAUCUCUAAAGAACCUCCUUCUGCAGGCAUGGAAACCAGAACUGCAUAAUGGAAAACCUUCCUAGAGGAAAAAUAGAAAACUAAGAAAUGAGCUUUUUAAAAUCACCAAUCAAAAUGAAAAACAGCUUCAGUGAAGGAGGAUGAGAGCAGUCAGAGCUCAAGUUUGCUGGGGACAUAGAUCUUCCUUUCCCUCUAAUAAAAUACAAAAGAUAGUGGACUUAAUGUCCAUCUUCGUCAUUGCAAGUGGACAGGAAUUUUUUUAGGAUCACUCAGCUGGGAGCCUCUGGGACAAAACAAAGAGUAGAUUGGAUAUUCGGAAGCAAUACUUAAUUGUGAUGGUGAUGAGUCAAAGCAACAGGUUGUCCAGAGAAGUUAUGGAUGCCCAACCCCUGGAAUCGUCCAAAGCCAAGCUGGAUGGGUCUUUGAGCAACCUGGUCCAGUGGAAGGUAUUCCUGUCCAGGGAGGUUGGAACUAGAAGAUCUUAAAGGUGACUAAAUAUCCCUGGGCACAGGAUGAGAAUGUGGAAUCUGAGCACACCUCAAAACCAGCUGGAUUUGAGCCACUCAGUGGGUGAGGUGACAUUGCAGCCCAGCACCCUGUGCUUAAAAUGGACAACCUGAUGUACUGUGCCUACUCCAGUUCAUUCCUCUCUCACUUUGGGAUUGAAGCCAUUCCAGAAAUAGCAGGACAGAUUUUUAAAGAGACUCUCAAAGCCUUGCUCUUCAUCUGAGUCACCAUUCUUCAUGGGACACCCUGAGCUGCAUUCUCAGAAGCUGGCUGCAGGGUCAACAUUUGUAGACCUUUUGUAUUGCCAGUUGGGCACUAAUGAGAGAGCAUCAAUGGAUCAGGAACAGCUGCAUCCACAUUUCUUUCACUGUCCUCAGUUCACCAUGGUAGGCACUGCCCUCUGAAACAAGCUCAUGAAUAGCAGGCUGGAGCAUGUAAAAGGGAUGCCUCUUCCUGUGUCCUCUAAACUGUGUAAUGAAUGCUGUCCUGGGAAACCACUGUAUCUUCACACAAAUAGUUCCUGUGGAAGGAUGCUGUAAGCAGUAUCAAAUUAGCUGCCAUAGAAUUUGGCCACUUAAUGCUUUUGCUGUCAAAGUCACACCCCAUGCUGAGUCACUGUUAAGUGAUUGAGCUGAUAUAAGCGAAUGCAUUGACUAAGUCAUUUAUUUACAUCUUGCUGCCAUCAAUCUAAGGAACUGCUAAAUGUAUUAAAUAAUCAAUCCACUCAGCAGCUGAUAAUGCAGUAGUAGAAAUGAAGAAAUGAAGUCCUACUAGGUUUUUAUUAUUGCUGUCAGAGAGGCUCUUUGGAUGCUCUGAACAUGUGCAAAAGGAUAACAAUUCAACAAAUAUAGCUCACAUUUAGAAAAGUCCGAAUGACUUUUGAAAGAAAAGCCAUAAUAAUACAAAGAAACUGGAAAGAUAAUAACAUAUGGUUGUUUGUUAGGGGCCGCUGUACAGGCUUGAAAGUUGUGGACUACAGUAUGUGUCUGGAUUACAGUGUGUGUCUGGCUGUUUAAUGCUUAAUGUAUUAAUGAUACAGAAUUGCCUGUAGGUUACAAAUUAUUCACUGACAGGGAUAUAUGGACAGCAUCAUUCUCUAUUAUUUUUUACAGUCAUGCCAUUAUGCAAUGUACAUAAUUCUAAAAUGUCAAAAAAAAUCAUUUGUUAGGGAGAAGGCAAUGCAAGGACUCACAAGACAGCUGCUAAAGACCAAAGGAAUCAAAGCAUUUCAUGCCCCAUGGAGCUUUUUUAUAUGCACAUUUCAAUUCUGUGACUCUUGUAAACUUCACCAGAGGUAAGAACAUUGAGAUCAUAAAUGCUAGUUACAACCACCAUCAUUUAACUUUUAUGUUAGUUAUACUUGUCUGCUGUAGGACUUAGGUCACUGUCACAUCCAGAAUUUUUCUCUGUGUUAAUUCUGAACUGGACCUUGUAAAAGCAAAGAUGUUUUGGGAAUAACAGUGCAGCGUGUCUGAUUUUCUGUCUGCUCAUAUCCAGAGGACCAAAUUGUGCAGGUUGUGCCUCUGUUCCAUUUAAACACAGGCAUAGACAGUUAUAUAAAAUAAUAGAGAAUAUAUGCUCAGUGUCCUCUGAACAGUGGGCCUCAUUGAUAUCACACACUGACAUCAAAACUUGACUUUACUGAGGUCACAGCAAAACUGCCAUUGAUGAAAAAGGGCAUAGGUUUCACUUCUAGAGUUUACUCUGCUUUCUCCUCUUUCAUGGUAAGAAUGAAUGUAAUGAAGCCCACUCUGAAAAAAGAGUUUUAAAGGUUGGGCUGAUAUUUUGCUUUGGAGCAGUAUUUAUGAAAUGAACAUUAUCAUAAACAGUCUGGUUAGAAGGAGAAUUUAUUGUUAUACAUAGAGCUGAUACCAGAAAACAAAGCAAAAAAAUUUCUCAAGUAUUUAAUGUAAUUGCUUUUAUUUGUGAGAUAAUGAGUCAAUUCUCUUUAAAGUAUGUCAUUUGGAAGUAGCAGCAACACUCCUAAUAAAGUGUAGGCGGUGGAAUGGAAACAUCAGCACCACUACAGUAAAUGUAAAGGGUUUGCCAAAGACGUGCAUAUUGAUUCUAUGAGUUGAACAAGAGAAGUAUCAAAACGAGUAUUACAGCGACCUGCAUAAAGGCUAAAAAUAACUUGACACAGGAAAUAUUAAACAUCUAGUUCAGAAGGAAUUGAAAAAUAAAUCAUACCAUUUUAGGAAGGCCUACAAAAAAGAGAAACAAACAGAAAUGUAAGAGGACAUAAAAGAAAGCAAAUAAGGUGAAAACAUGGGUCAUAAUUUUAAAAAUAUAAAGAAAUCAGAACAAAAGAUUAAUCAAAUUAAACUGAAUAGCAAACACAAUAAUAAAAGCAUACCAAGAGAAGGAGAAGGACUGUUUAGGACUCUACAGCAUGAAUAGCUCAGCAGAGAUGGUCUAGAGAGAUGGUCUUUACUGCAGCUAUAUUCCUGUACUAGAUUUGUUUACAAAAAUAGUUUCACAAAAUGCUUUCAUAGAGGACAAGGAAGAAAUUAUUCAUCACGUGGUAUUAGCUCCUCCUGGGUUUAGAUGAUAUACAUUGAUGAAAGACAUGCAAAACAUGCCUCAGUAUUUGUUAUUUUUCCAGACAGACAGCUACUAUAUGGGAUUCCCAUUGCCAUGAGGUAUCCCAUGGCAUUCAUCCCAAAGAGUAGAAUGAGAUGGCCUCACAAAUGUGAAAGUCUAAAAAGCAGCCCAUGUAUUGCAAAUGAGACAAGAUAAAGGUUAACAGAGCAAUUUCCUUAACAAAGUUACUUACGCUGGAAGAAAGUUCAAGAUUUUUUUUCAGCAUUGCACUGAUCAAUGAGAAUUAGAACUUUCAUGAAAUCUCCUUUUCCCCUUGGUUAAAAACACCAACAUAAAUACAGUGAAAUUUCUCUGAUAAGAAUUAAGAUCUCCAAGCAACAACCAUUCAUCCCCAUUACAUUAAAUCCCCAGCUGGCAGAAGGUGCUUUUUUGUACUGUAUAUAGCUCCCAUUGCUCUCAAAUUGCUUUACUGCACUGCUUUAGUCUCUUGAUUCACUACAGACUUAAGGGUAAUGAGUCUGGCACUGCCCAAAGGACCUCGUGAUACCUCCUCAUACUCAGCUAAACACAAUUAGGCUGGAGAAAUCCAGUGCCAUUGAGUUCUCAUGGUGAUUAGUGACAGCCUGAAAGAGUCAAGAAUGAAGAGAGUCUUAAAGGGUGUCUUUGCUAAGCCAAAUAGGUUGCAAAGAAUUAGUUCCUUAUUGCCAGAGUCAAAAUUCAACCACACUAAGAGCCUGCUUAAAGCACAGUUGCUGAGAAAAUGUCCCACAAGGAUGCUACAAAGAAUUAAGAUCAUAGGAAACAGAUGAUAAGGAAUAGAGAAAGGGAGGGAAAAAAUGCUAAUGAGAACAUAAUAGAUUGUGAAUGCAAAGAAAAAUUUUAGAAUUAUAGUUUAACAUGUUGUUAUGUAACUAUAUAAAUAAACUAUAAAUAGUUUAGAAAUGUAGUUUACUAGAUAUUUAAAAUGUAAGUUUGCUUGAGUUGUCUUUACUAUUACCAAUGUAACUGCUGCUCUUCUAUCGCCUGUUAUUGCCUGGGACCCUAAUUUGUCAUCUCUGUUGAUUUUGGCUGUCGGUUCCCAGAGUUUGAUUGAUUAUUGUGAGCAGCAAGAGAAUUCUCUGGUGAAAAACUGCCACAUCCUAGAAUUUAUCAAAACACAUAAUUGGCAGGAUUGUGAAUUUGCACUUUCUGUGUACAGUGUUGGAAUCUAAAAUGAAUAUGAAACCUAGCUUUAUAGGCUGUUUCUUUAAACUAGGUCAAGGAAAGAUUAUGGUUACAUCAUUCAGUUUGCUGCACAGUCAAGCAGCUGAGGAAAUUUCCCAUUUAUUUGAUAUUUUUUAUGGACUAUGGAAAUCUCAACAUUAGGCCAUGCUUACUGUCAGAGCCUCCAGGACUUCAGAACGGAGAUUAUACUGCACUGAUGUCACUUGUGGGCUGAAUAUAAACACUGUAGGUGUAGACAUAAAGGGGAUAGUUACAUAAAAUUAAUAGCAAAAAAAAAUGUCUUUGUACUCCCUGAAGCAAGCAACAAAAGUGUCUUUGUGAGUGCAGUUCUACACACAUUGCUGUUGUCAGCCAAUUGGGCUAUGACCUAGAACUUAGCCAACUAUAAAACCAAUAAUAAACUACAGAAAGAGCAACUCUUCACACUGAUGGUAAGUACUCAGAGGCUAAAUCAUGAAAAGAAUAAAGUUUUCAGUUUAUCUUAACAUAAUGGAAUUAUCUCGCCAUUUCUGAUUUUACUAAUACAGACAAAAUUAAGGACUGUAAAAAAAAAAUCAAUCUGCUUUUAUCUAAGGCCUUUAUACCACGAACAAUCCAAGAACAGCAGGGUUUGUGAAUUCUGGAGCAAGACUGAUAUAGAAGAUCUGUUUUAAUGGUAAAAUCACAGCUGCACUGCCUUCAUGAACACAGCAGGUUUACAAGGUGGAUCUGAGCACAUAGUUUGUUUUUAUUUGCCAGUGUGAUGGGAUACGAGAAGCUGUUGUAGGUCUGUCCUUUCCAAUUACUGAGUUUAUCUGCUUAUGUUUGGGCUCAGACUUUUAGUAUAAGCACCAUAAAAGGUGGGGCUCAGCCCUGAGAAACUGCAUAAUUUCUCUGCUAUUACAGCUGAUGAUCAAGCACUGCCUAGCAUAUUCCCUGCAUUUACGUCAGCUUUUUCUUCAUUUUGCUGCUAAUCUCUAGUUGAGAGCUUACACAGCCCGGGAGCAGUGUCAUACUGCUUGUCCUUUGAAAUUCAUCUUUUGUUGUUCCUUACAGCCAUGCAAAAUGGAUCUCACGGAACUGUUCGGAGCAAGAUGAUAUUUAAAUCUCCUUUUCUGUACACAAGGAGAUGACCCCACUGACAACUGACUUCCAACAGAAGGUUGCUAACCCUGAAGUGCCAUCCCACUGAGAUAUUUAAGGAAAUAUGGGGGCAAUGGGUAUCAGAUGCAUAACUUUCUGAGGAAUGUUAAACCCCUAGUAGAACAAGGUUAAAUCCAGAAAAACCAGUUACAACUCUGUGUCUUGCAGACAGAGUCUAGGUUACUCUUUGGGGCUACCUGUGACUGUCCGCUCAUAAAUUUGGAAAUCACAGCCAAGGGAUGUUAAGCACUUCUGUAAUAUUCACUCUCAGUGAGAGCUGACAUCAGGCUUCUUGGAGCCCAUCCAUGGGUUAAAGUAAAAACCCUUCCCUUUUUCUGUCCAACUCUAGAGUGACUUGCACAACUACAUAACAAUCCCAGGGAUGCCCAUCAAGCCCUGAUUGCUCACCCCUAAAACCGACUUUGCAACCAGCCACUAGUGCUUGUCUGGCUGUCUCUCCUAAAAACCUGGGGCAGAGAAAGGUGCUCUUGUUCAUUGUGAUAUAGCUUAAAGAAAAAAAAUUCCAACAGCUUUUGUAUUACCAAAAUGUUCUGCUGUUUGCAGAAAGCCCUGAGCAGCAUACCAACAAAAGCAUGACCUUCCUGCACAAAUAAUGGCAUAUGGAAAGGCAGCUCCUUCUGCAGGGCAGUGGGAACAGUAGGUUAUGAGUGAUGAAAGUCUUCAAGGGCACUUUGCUUGAAAUGGUGCUGUGUACUUUCUCUGCCCUAGUGCAGACACACCACUUAUCACUCUAAUUGAAUCAGUGACUUAUUCUUAUAGACUAACGCAGGCAUUGGCAUUCCUGGAAGGCUGUGAAAGAUGCAGGGAUAAAGACAAGUAGGUCUGCACUGUCUGGAGCGUUGUGUCACUGCCAUUUCAUGUACGUGUAGUGCUAACACCCAUGCUAUGGUAGCACACUGGGACAAAGUGACACUCAUAUGUAUCUAGAUGUGUUGCCUCCCACAUAAAAGGCCCUUUUUUGUCUUUGUGGGACGUAACUUAGCAUGUACAAUAAUACUUUUCUCACCGGUCUCAGAGACCCACAGCAAUUCCCAAAACCUGAACAUCUGACCACCAUUGUUCUGGUUUUCCUUUACUAUUUUUAUGGUUUUUGCAGUUUUGUAUAAAUGGCUUGCAUAUCUCAGUGUCUCAGUUCAUUACAAUGACCAAGGGACGAUUCCCUUUCAGUUUAGGAUUCCUGAGACUCACCAAGCACAACGGUUCAAACUUCAUCAGGAAAACAAACUGGUGCCUGCCUUCUGCCAGCACACCCAGUGAGGACAGUACUUGGUCAUUUAGUCAGUGUGUGUGUGUGUGUGUGUGUGUGCACUUCUGGGUCAGAUGUUAAUGCCCAAGGAAAGCAGAUUAUUGAGGGUGAAAAAAACCCUCUAAUAAAAAAACCACAGCUCUGUGUUACUUAUAACAUA
Passer domesticus (house sparrow) is the source of this 7346-nucleotide long non-coding RNA. RefSeq lists it as uncharacterized. Lineage: Eukaryota; Metazoa; Chordata; Aves; Passeriformes; Passeridae. The record is from RefSeq and is a predicted model, not a curated record. The transcript is spliced from 10 exons.